CUCGCUGACGUAAGCAAAAACAACCUAGUUGCAAUCUGUGACGACACGCGUAUUGCAAAGUUCUCUGCAUUUUUGUUGUUUCGUUAUAUUUUCCGCCUUAAAAGAGCAAUAUUGAAGCAUAAACUGGUCUAAUUGUUUUAAAAACAUGCCUAAGCCACGACAAAGUAUUCAAGGUAAAUGUUUUUCGUCUUUGUUUUGUAUUUUUUUACAUUAGUAGCUACGAAAUUGGCGUCCCCAAUUUUAACGAAAUUUGGGAUGCCUUUUUCACUGUUU
This is a non-coding RNA of Paramuricea clavata, 273 nucleotides long. NCBI's taxonomy places the organism in Eukaryota, Metazoa, Cnidaria, Anthozoa, Malacalcyonacea, Plexauridae. The record is from the annotation of a GenBank genome assembly.